CGCCCUUAGAGUUUGAUCAUGGCUCAGAACGAACGCUGGCGGCAGGCUUAACACAUGCAAGUCGAGCGCACUCUUCGGAGUGAGCGGCAGACGGGUGAGUAACGCGUGGGAAUCUACCUAUCUCUACGGAAUAACACAGAGAAAUUUGUGCUAAUACCGUAUACGUCCUUAGGGAGAAAGAUUUAUCGGAGAUGGAUGAGCCCGCGUUGGAUUAGCUAGUUGGUGGGGUAAAGGCUCACCAAGGCGACGAUCCAUAGCUGGUCUGAGAGGAUGACCAGCCACACUGGGACUGAGACACGGCCCAGACUCCUACGGGAGGCAGCAGUGGGGAAUAUUGGACAAUGGGCGAAAGCCUGAUCCAGCCAUGCCGCGUGAGUGAUGAAGGCCUUAGGGUUGUAAAGCUCUUUCACCGGUGAAGAUAAUGACGGUAACCGGAGAAGAAGCCCCGGCUAACUUCGUGCCAGCAGCCGCGGUAAUACGAAGGGGGCUAGCGUUGUUCGGAUUUACUGGGCGUAAAGCGCACGUAGGCGGAUAUUUAAGUCAGAGGUGAAAUCCCAGGGCUCAACCCUGGAACUGCCUUUGAUACUGGGUAUCUUGAGUAUGGAAGAGGUGAGUGGAAUUCCGAGUGUAGAGGUGAAAUUCGUAGAUAUUCGGAGGAACACCAGUGGCGAAGGCGGCUCACUGGUCCAUUACUGACGCUGAGUUGC
Molecule: ribosomal RNA, 707 nt
Filed under: uncultured Bartonella sp.
Lineage: Bacteria; Pseudomonadati; Pseudomonadota; Alphaproteobacteria; Hyphomicrobiales; Bartonellaceae
Description: bacterial SSU rRNA
Rfam family: Bacterial small subunit ribosomal RNA
Source: RNAcentral